GGUCCCGCCUGCCCUGUGACUAUAAGUUUAACGGCCGCGGUAUUUUAACCGUGCGAAGGUAGCGUAAUCACUUGUCUUUUAAAUGAAGACCUGUAUGAAUGGCAUCACGAGGGCUUAGCUGUCUCCCAUCUCCAGUCAAUGAAAUUGACCUCCCCGUGCAGAGGCGGGGAUAAUUACAUAAGACGAGAAGACCCUAUGGAGCUUUAGACCUAAAGUAAGUCACGUUUAACAUGCUAAAAUAACAGAAAAAACUUAGUGAUAUUUACUGAAGUGUCUUUGGUUGGGGCGACCGCGGGGUAAAACACAACCCCCAUGUGGACCGGGGAUAUUAUCCCUAAUACUCAGAGCCUCUACUCCAAGUAACAGAAAUUCUGACUUUUCUGAUCCGGUAUAACCGAUCAACGAACCGAGUUACCCUAGGGAUAACAGCGCAAUCCCCUCUCAGAGCCCAUAUCGACGAGGGGGUUUACGACCUCGAUGUUGGAUCAGGACAUCCUAAUGGUGCAGCCGCUAUUAAGGGUUCGUUUGUUCAACGAUUAAAGUCCUACGUGAUC
Molecule: ribosomal RNA, 554 nt
Filed under: Gadus chalcogrammus (walleye pollock)
Lineage: Eukaryota; Metazoa; Chordata; Actinopteri; Gadiformes; Gadidae
Description: partial 16S ribosomal RNA
Rfam family: Bacterial large subunit ribosomal RNA
Source: RNAcentral